This 433-nucleotide ribosomal RNA is filed under the name uncultured bacterium. RNAcentral's name for it is "partial 16S ribosomal RNA". It matches the Rfam family "Bacterial small subunit ribosomal RNA", at positions 29 to 507 of the family's 1533-position model. The record is from RNAcentral.
AACGAACGCUGGCGGCAUGCCUAACACAUGCAAGUCGAACGAGACCAUCGGGUCUAGUGGCGCAUGGCUGCGUAAUGGGUGGGAACUUGCCCUUAGGUUCGGAACAACCUCCCGAAAGGGGUGCUCAUAUCGGAUAAUGUCCUCGGACCGAAGAUCGAUUGCCUUCGGAUGGGCGCGCGUUGGUUUCGCAGGUGCGUAGGGUAAGAGCAUACCAAGGUGACGAUCCAUAGCUGGUCAGAGAGGAUGAGCAGCCACACUGGGACUGAGACGCGGCGCAGACUACUGCGCGAGGGAGGAGUGGGGGAUAUUGGACAAUGGGCGGAAGCAUGAUCCAGCAAUGCCGCGUGAGUGAUGAAGGCCUUAGGGUUGUAAAGCUCUUUUACCCGGGAUGAUAAUGACAGUACCGGGAGAAUAAGCUCCGGCUAACUCCGUG